GUGCCAGCCGCCGCGGUAAAACCAGCACCUCAAGUGGUCAGGAGGAUUAUUGGGCCUAAAGCAUCCGUAGCCUGCUCUGUAAGUUUCCGGUUAAAUCCAUUAGCUUAACUGAUGGGCCGCCGGAAAAACUGCAAAGCUAGGGAGUGGGAGAGGUAGACGGUACUCGGUAGGAAGGGGUAAAAUCCUUUGAUCUAUUGAUGACCACCUGUGGCGAAGGCGGUCUACCAGAACACGUUCGACGGUGAGGGAUGAAAGCUGGGGGAGCAAACCGGAUUAGAUACCCGGGUAGUCCCAGCUGUAAACGAUGCAGACUCGGUGAUGCCCUGGCUUGUGGCCAGUGCAGUGCCGCAGGGAAGCCGUUAAGUUUGCCGCCUGGGAAGUACGUACGCAAGUAUGAAACUUAAAGGAAUUGGCGGGGGAGCACCACAAGGGGUGAAGCCUGCGGUUCAAUUGGAGUCAACGCCAGAAAUCUUACCCGAGGAGACAGCAGAAUGAAGGUCAAGCUGGAGACUUUACCAGACAAGCUGAGAAGUGGUGCAUGGCCGUCGCCAGCUCGUGCCGCGAGAUGUCCUGUUAAGUCAGGUAACGAGCGAGAUCCCUGCCUCUAGUUGCCACCAUUACUCUCAGGAGUAGUGGGGCGAAUUAGCGGGACCGCCACAGUUAAUGUGGAGGAAGGAAGGGGCCACGGCAGGUCAGUAUGCCCUGAAACCUUGGGGCCACACGCGGGCUGCAAUGAUAGUGACAAUGAGUUCCUAAACCGAAAGGUGGAGGCAAUCUUCAAACGCUAUCACAGUUAUGAUUGAGGGCUGCAACUCGCCCUCAUGAAUAUGGAAUCCCUAGUAACUGCGUGUCAUUACCGCGCGGUGAAUACGUCCCUGCUCCUUGUACACACCGCCCGUC
RNAcentral lists this ribosomal RNA (900 nucleotides) under uncultured archaeon. RNAcentral's name for it is "bacterial SSU rRNA". It matches the Rfam family "Archaeal small subunit ribosomal RNA", at positions 455 to 1354 of the family's 1478-position model. The record is from RNAcentral.